Molecule: transfer RNA, 217 nt
Filed under: Pneumocystis jirovecii
Lineage: Eukaryota; Fungi; Ascomycota; Pneumocystomycetes; Pneumocystales; Pneumocystaceae
Description: tRNA-Pseudo(TTA)
Source: RNAcentral
AAUAAAAUAAUUUAAUUUAAUUUGAGAUUUUAAAAAAGUGUAAAUUAUUUAUGGUAAAAAUUAUAGAAACAAAAUAUAUAACAUUGGUAGAUAAUCAACAUUAAUUAUUUCAAUUUUUGGUAAAUACUAGUUUUUGUAUUAGUAUGUAAUAUUUAUGAUUAAUUUUAUUUAAAUAAAUAUUUAACAUUUUAUAUCCAAUUCAAAUUAUUUUUUAUUA